AGCUUCAGUAGCGUAUAUUAAAGUUGUUGCAGUUAAAAAGCUCGUAGUCGCAUUUCUGGCGAGAGGAUCCGGUCCGACCUUUUGGUGGGUUCUUGGGUCUCUUUCGCCAUCCUUGAGUGGUCCGUUCUGGCAUUAGUUUGUCGGAGCGUCAGCCGCUCAUCGUUUACUGUGAGAAAAUUAGAGUGUUCAAAGCAGGCUUAUGCCGUUGAAUAUAUUAGCAUGGAAUAAUAAGAUAGGACCUAGGUACUAUUUUGUUGGUUUGCGCACCAAGGUAAUGAUGAACAGGGACAGUUGGGGGUAUUUGUAUUUCGUUGUCAGAGGUGAAAUUCUUAGAUUUACGAAAGACAAACUACUGCGAAAGCAUUUACCAAGGAUGUUUUCA
RNAcentral lists this ribosomal RNA (382 nucleotides) under uncultured marine Chaetocerotaceae. RNAcentral describes it as "SSU rRNA". It matches the Rfam family "Eukaryotic small subunit ribosomal RNA", at positions 587 to 972 of the family's 1831-position model. The record is from RNAcentral. Lineage: Eukaryota; Bacillariophyta; Thalassiosirophyceae; Chaetocerotales; Chaetocerotaceae.